Molecule: small RNA, 103 nt
Filed under: Flavobacterium flevense
Lineage: Bacteria; Pseudomonadati; Bacteroidota; Flavobacteriia; Flavobacteriales; Flavobacteriaceae
Description: Flavo-1 RNA
Rfam family: Flavo-1 RNA
Source: RNAcentral
UUUGCGUUAGGGAUGGAAGCGGCAUCCUUUUGUGAGAGCAGUAAUUUUCAGGUUUAAACUACUAUUACCCGAACAAAAGAUACAGCGUACAGCCCGACCUUGU